GUUCGUUUCUCGGAUUUCCCCCCA
This 24-nucleotide unclassified non-coding RNA is filed under the name Dictyostelium discoideum. The record is from RNAcentral. Lineage: Eukaryota; Evosea; Eumycetozoa; Dictyosteliales; Dictyosteliaceae.